Molecule: ribosomal RNA, 460 nt
Filed under: uncultured bacterium
Lineage: Bacteria
Description: partial 16S ribosomal RNA
Rfam family: Bacterial small subunit ribosomal RNA
Source: RNAcentral
CCUACGGGAGGCUGCAGUGAGGAAUAUUGGUCAAUGGACGAGAGUCUGAACCAGCCAAGUAGCGUGAAGGAUGACUGCCCUAUGGGUUGUAAACUUCUUUUAUAUGGGAAUAAAAUGUUCCACGUGUGGGAUUUUGUAUGUACCAUAUGAAUAAGGAUCGGCUAACUCCGUGCCAGCAGCCGCGGUAAUACGGAGGAUCCGAGCGUUAUCCGGAUUUAUUGGGUUUAAAGGGAGCGUAGGUGGAUUGUUAAGUCAGUUGUGAAAGUUUGCGGCUCAACCGUAAAAUUGCAGUUGAAACUGGCAGUCUUGAGUACAGUAGAGGUGGGCGGAAUUCGUGGUGUAGCGGUGAAAUGCUUAGAUAUCACGAAGAACUCCGAUUGCGAAGGCAGUUCACUGGACUGCAACUGACACUGAGGCUCGAAAGUGUGGGUAUCAAACAGGAUUAGAUACCCUUGUAGUU